AGAUUGAACGCUGGCGGCAGGCCUAACACAUGCAAGUCGAGCGGUGGAGAGGUGCUUGCAUCUCUUGAGAGCGGCGGACGGGUGAGUAAUGCCUAGGAAUCUGCCUAGUGGUGGGGGAUAACGGUUCGGAAACGGACGCUAAUACCGCAUACGUCCUACGGGAGAAAGCGGGGGACCUUCGGGCCUCGCGCCAUUAGAUGAGCCUAGGUCGGAUUAGCUAGUUGGUGAGGUAAUGGCUCACCAAGGCGACGAUCCGUAACUGGUCUGAGAGGAUGAUCAGUCACA
Molecule: ribosomal RNA, 285 nt
Filed under: uncultured soil bacterium
Lineage: Bacteria
Description: partial 16S ribosomal RNA
Rfam family: Bacterial small subunit ribosomal RNA
Source: RNAcentral